This is a long non-coding RNA of Alosa alosa (allis shad), 637 nucleotides long. RefSeq lists it as uncharacterized. The transcript is spliced from 4 exons. The record is from RefSeq and is a predicted model, not a curated record. NCBI's taxonomy places the organism in Eukaryota, Metazoa, Chordata, Actinopteri, Clupeiformes, Clupeidae.
CCCGUGUAUACAUGUGUGAACCAUUUCUUGUGUUGGAAAAACAGGAGACCUGAAGAGCUCUUGAUGCUUUUGGUUUGCCUCAUCCAUUAUGUCAGCAAAGAACAGGAGUGGGCAGGAAACAUGCGCUGUUGAAAACAUGGCCAACCAACUGGAGCACCCACAAGGCUCUUGUGAAGGAAGUCCACAAGCCUUUGUGCUUCAGGAUGGAUGGAAAGAACUCUUUGAUCAACCCCCACAGAGAGCUGAGGUGGCUAUCUUUUGGAGACACCCCCGGCUGGUAGUGCUGCUGAAACUGGUGGAGGCAACAAUGAAGCGGCAACAGAAAGAGAAGGCAGGUGGCAAAUGUUGCUGCUAUUGAACAAUACUUUGAGAGUGAGUAUGUGUGCAUGUAUGUAGCUGGGUAGGUCAUGGUACAUGGUACAAAAAUACAGAAUUUAAAGCACUAGCACAACACUUAACUCACAACCCACAACUACUGACAAUGGAAUUACUCUUUUAGAGUGAGUGAGUGAGGGAGAGAGAUAGAAUAUUUCUGUAAAUGUUUAAUGUUAAUUUAGAAUAAUUUAUUUCUUUGAAUCAUUAUACAGUUUUAAAAUGUUUAAUUGUUUGUGUUUUUGUAUAUGAAAGAUGUCGAUUG